This 497-nucleotide ribosomal RNA is filed under the name uncultured bacterium. RNAcentral's name for it is "partial 16S ribosomal RNA". It matches the Rfam family "Bacterial small subunit ribosomal RNA", at positions 28 to 507 of the family's 1533-position model. The record is from RNAcentral.
GACGAACGCUGGCGGCGUGCCUAAUACAUGCAAGUUGAGCGGUGAAGGUUGGUACUUGUGCCAACUGGGUGAGCCGCGCACGGGUGAGUCACGCGUGGGAACUCUGCCUUUGAGCGGGGGACCACAUUUGGAAACGAAUGCUAAUACCGCAUAAAAACUUGAAACACAGGGUUGAAGUUUGAAAGAUGCCAUUGCAGCACUCACAGAUGAUCCCGCGUUGUAUUAGCUAGUUGGUGGGGUAAAGGCUCACCAAGGCGAUGACACAUAGCCGAACUGAGAGGGUGGGCGGCCACAGUGGGACUGAGACACGGCCCAAACGGCUUCGGGAGGCAGCAGUAGGGCAGCGUCGGGCAGGGGUGAAAGUCUGAGCGAGCAACGCCGCGGGAGGGAAGAAGGUUUUCGGAUCGUAAAACUCUGUUGGUAGAGAAGAACGUUGGUGAGAGUGGAAAGCUCAGCAAGUGACGGUAACUACUCAGAAAGGGACGGCUAACUACGUG